AGGGAUGUCGCCAAGUUGGUAAGGCACGUGGUUUUGGUCCACGCAUUCGCGGGUUCGAGUCCUGCCAUCCCUGCCA
This 76-nucleotide transfer RNA is filed under the name Desulfovibrio sp. RNAcentral describes it as "tRNA-Gln". It matches the Rfam family "tRNA". Rfam says of the family: Transfer RNA (tRNA) molecules are approximately 80 nucleotides in length. Their secondary structure includes four short double-helical elements and three loops (D, anti-codon, and T loops). Lineage: Bacteria; Pseudomonadati; Thermodesulfobacteriota; Desulfovibrionia; Desulfovibrionales; Desulfovibrionaceae. RNAcentral also lists the same sequence under 3 other names. The record is from RNAcentral.